GAUAAAGCGAGCAAGGGCGCACGGUGGAUGCCUUGGCUCACGGAGGCGAUGAAGGACGUGAUAAGCUGCGAUAAGCUGCGGGUAGGUGCAAAUGACCAUUGAUCCGCGGAUUUCCGAAUGGGACAACCCGGCCGUCUGAAGGACGGUCAUCCUUACGUAUUUUGUAAGGAGGCGAACCGGGGGAACUGAAACAUCUUAGUACCCCGAGGAAGAGAAAAUAACUGAAUGAUUCCCCCAGUAGUGGCGAGCGACCGGGGAAGAGCCCAAACCGGGCGUGUGCUUUGCGCAUGUCCGGGGUUGUAGGACCGCGCUGUGGUAUGUGUAUUGCGAGAAGAAGGAUCUGGAAAGUUCCGUCAGAGAGGGUGAUAUCCCCGUAUUCGUAGCAAUGCAUGGCCUAGCGGUAUCCUGAGUAGCGCGGGACACGAGUAAUCCUGCGUGAAUCUGCCGGGACCAUCCGGUAAGGCUAAAUACUCCCGUGAGACCGAUAGUGUACUAGUACCGUGAGGGAAAGGUGAAAAGCACCCCUGGCAGGGGAGUGAAAUAGUUCCUGAACCCGUGCGCCUACAAGCGGUCGGAGCAUGUUUUUGCAUGUGACGGCGUGCCUUUUGCAUAAUGAACCUACGAGUUGCCGUCGCCGGCGAGGUUAAGCGUCACGAGACGCGUUAUCCGCAGUGAAAGCGAGCCUGAACAGGGCGUUUAGUCGGUGGUGGCAGACGCGAAACCGAGUGAUCUACACAUGGCCAGGGUGAAGUUCCGGUAACACGGAAUGGAGGCCCGAACGGAUAAGCGUUGAAAAGCUUCCCGAUGAGUUGUGUGUAGGAGUGAAAGGCCAAUCAAACUCGGAGAUAGCUCGUACUCCCCGAAAGGCAUUUAGGUGCCGCGUCGCGUGUUUCGCGUGAGAGGUAGAGCGACCGAUAGGAUGCGAGGGCUUCACCGCCUAUCAAGUCCUGACGAACUCCGAAUGCUCACGCGUAGUAGCGCGGCAGUAAGGGCGCGGGUGCUAAGGUCCGUGCCCGAGAGGAGAAGAAUCCGGACCGCCGUCUAAGGUCCCCGAGUGCUGCCUGAGUUAGUCUAACGAAGUCCGGUCCCCGUGACAGCCAGGAUGUUGGCUUGGAAGCAGCCAUUCAUUCAAAGAGUGCGUAACAGCUCACUGGUCGAGGGUCCGGGCGUGGAUAAUAAUCGGGUAUAAGGCAGCCACCGAAGGCGCGGGAUAGUAUAUUGAUUUAUAGUAUCGGUAGGGGAGCAUUCCGUGUGCGUUGAAUGGUGUACGUGAGUUAUCCUGGAGCGCACGGAAACGCAAAUGUAGGUAUAAGUAACGAUUAGGGGCGUGUGAUCCGCCCCGCCGCAAGACCGAGGUUUCCCGGGCGAUGCUGAUCAGCCCGGGGUCAGUCGGGUCCUAAGGCUCAGCCGAGUGGCGAGGCCGAUGGCUUCACGGUCAACAUUCCGUGACUUCCCCCAUGAGCGAUGUGGUGACGGAGCAGUGGAACCGCCGCGCACUGCCGGAGUAGUGCGUUGAAGGGUGUAGGCGCCGAUGCGUAUAGGCAAAUCCGUACGCAGAGCCGACCCUGAGAGUACCGUCGUCCCUUUUGGGACGGUGGAUAGUGUGGGUAAUCAUACUCCCGAGAAAACCCGCUAAGCGUUAAUUGUGUGGGAACCCGUACCGCAAACCGACACAGGUGGUCGUGUAGAGUAUACUGAGGCGUUGGGUGAUUCAUGGUUAAGGAAUUAGGCAAACUGACCCCGUAACUUCGGGAGAAGGGGUCCUCACUUUAUUGUGAGGCGCAGAGACCAGGUCCAGGCAACUGUUUAUCAAAAACACAGGGCUGUGCAAACUCGAAAGAUGACGUAUACAGCCUGACACCUGCCCGGUGCCGGAAGGUUAAGAGGAGAUGUCAGCCCUUUGGGUGAAGCAUUGAAUUGAAGCCCCGGUAAACGGCGGCCGUAACUAUAACGGUCCUAAGGUAGCGAAAUUCCUUGUCGGGUAAGUUCCGACCUGCACGAAUGGUGUAAUGAUCCGGACGCUGUCUCAACCAUGAGCCCAGUGAAAUUGUAGUAUCGGUGAAGAUGCCGAUUACCCGCGAUGGGACGAAAAGACCCCGUGAACCUUUACUGCAGCUUAGCACUGGACUUGGUCGCCGGAUGUGUAGGAUAGGCCGGAGACUUUGAAGUAGGUACGCCAGUAUUUAUGGAGUCAUCCUUGAAAUACGGCCCUUCCUGCGCCUGAGUCCUAACGCGUGUUUUUAUGCGGACACUGCUUGGUGGGCAGUUUGACUGGGGUGGUCGCCUCCAAAAGCGUAACGGAGGCUUCCAAAGGUGCCCUCUGGCCGUUUGGUAACCGGCCGUUGGAGUGUAAUGGCACAAGGGCGCUUGACUGGGAGGCAGACAUGCCGAGCAGGCAGGAAACUGGGGCAUAGUGAUCCGGUGCAAGUGUAUGGAAACUGCAUCGCUCAAAGGAUAAAAGGUACUCCGGGGAUAACAGGCUGAUCCCCCCCAAGAGCUCAUAUCGACGGGGUGGUUUGGCACCUCGAUGUCGGCUCGUCACAUCCUGGGGCUGGAGAAGGUCCCAAGGGUUGGGCUGUUCGCCCAUUAAAGUGGCACGCGAGCUGGGUUCAGAACGUCGUGAGACAGUUCGGUCUCUAUCUAUCGCGGGCGUUGGAGUCUUGAGCGGGUCUGGCACUAGUACGAGAGGACCGUGUUGGACAGACCUCCGGUUUACCGGUUGUGCCGCCAGGUGCACCGCCGGGUAUCCGCGUCUGGUAAGGAUAAGCGCUGAAAGCAUCUAAGUGCGAAGCCAUCCGCGAGAUGAGGGCUCCUUUGAGGGUCGUCCGAGACGAGGACGUUGAUAGGAGGCAGGUGUAAAGACGGUGACGUCAAAGCCGAGCCUUACUAAUUGCCCGAACGCUUUUUUC
RNAcentral lists this ribosomal RNA (2909 nucleotides) under Prevotella sp. Rep29. Its description in RNAcentral is "23S ribosomal RNA". It matches the Rfam family "Bacterial large subunit ribosomal RNA". Lineage: Bacteria; Pseudomonadati; Bacteroidota; Bacteroidia; Bacteroidales; Prevotellaceae. The record is from RNAcentral.